Lipotes vexillifer (Yangtze River dolphin) is the source of this 72-nucleotide non-coding RNA. The record is from the annotation of a RefSeq genome assembly. Lineage: Eukaryota; Metazoa; Chordata; Mammalia; Artiodactyla; Lipotidae.
UCCCUGAUGGUCCUGUGGUUAGGACUCAGCACUUUCACUGCUGUGGUCCAGGUUUGAUCCCUGGUCAGGGAA